UACGUAGGGUGCAAGCGUUAAUCGGAAUUACUGGGCGUAAAGGGCGCGUAGGCGGCCUUGUAAGUCUCGUGUGAAAGCCCUCGGCUUAACUGAGGAUCUGCACGGGAUACUGCGAGGCUUGAGUUCGGGAGAGGAAAGCGGAAUUCCGGGUGUAGCGGUGAAAUGCGUAGAGAUGCGGAGGAACACCGAUGGCGAAGGCAGCCCCCUGGGCUAAUACUGACGCUGAGGCACGAAAGCGUGGGGAGCAAACAGG
Molecule: ribosomal RNA, 253 nt
Filed under: uncultured bacterium
Lineage: Bacteria
Description: partial 16S ribosomal RNA
Rfam family: Bacterial small subunit ribosomal RNA
Source: RNAcentral